This 399-nucleotide ribosomal RNA is filed under the name uncultured bacterium. RNAcentral describes it as "bacterial SSU rRNA". It matches the Rfam family "Bacterial small subunit ribosomal RNA", at positions 976 to 1380 of the family's 1533-position model. The record is from RNAcentral.
AGGUCUUGACAUCGUAUGCAUAGCCUAGAGAUAGGUGAAACUCCUUCGGGAGCAUAUAGACAGGUGGUGCAUGGUUGUCGUCAGCUCGUGUCGUGAGAUGUUGGGUUAAGUCCCGCAACGAGCGCAACCCUUACCUUUAGUUGCUACGCAAGAGCACUCUAGAGGGACUGCCGUUGACAAAACGGAGGAAGGUGGGGAUGACGUCAAAUCAUCAUGCCCCUUAUGACCUGGGCUACACACGUACUACAAUGGCAAUCAACAAAGAGCAGCAAGACAGUGAUGUGGAGCGAAUCUCAAAAAAUUGUCCCAGUUCAGAUUGCAGGCUGCAACUCGCCUGCAUGAAGUCGGAAUUGCUAGUAAUCGUGGAUCAGCAUGCCACGGUGAAUACGUUCCCGGGCC